UGCCAAAAAGAAGCUUGAUUCAUGAAUGAAAAAAAUAUUGGCCUAACAAACAGAUGUGGUUGGAAAUAAAAAAUCUGGGAAAGACUUCCAAAUUAGAUCUGAUGAGAGAAAAAAAGGAGUGGCCUUCUAAUGCUGUUUACUAUCUCAAAUGGAUGAAUCUAUAGUUUAAAGACAAAAGAAAAUCACAGUUUUUUUAUAAUUCGUGUUUAAAUAGAAAUUCGGAUUUUAAAAAGAAAAGCUGUGUCUUUAAUCUUAAAAAAAACAAAAUGUAAUGUGGUGCCCAGAAUCCUUGAUCGUGAAGAUAACAACAAAUUUUCGAAUAAAAAAAAAGAGAGGGUAUAAUCGCCACAAAAAAAGAAAGGAAAUGUAAAAUGGAAAGUUUAACAUUCAAAAAAUCCCGACCCCACCGCUUCAAGAAAUCCGUUAGGCGCAUAAAAGUCUUGGCCUUCUCUCUUGACACUAAACUGAAACUCAGAAUAUCUUCGCCCUUUCUCUGCCCCAAAAAUAAACCCCCAAAAUCUCCAAAUCCUUUCAGAGAAAUUCAAACUUUACGCUUUUUUGCAGGGCAAGGAUAAUCCAAAAGAUUGAAGAUGGUAAUUUAGUGAAAUAGGCAAAAACAGUGAAAGAAAGGUCAAACUUAGUGGAAGAAGUAGAGUAGAACCGGAGAAGAAGAAGGCAUUGAUUGAAACGAUGUCAGCUUUGUCGGAAAACGCAGAUUCGCCAUUGAAGAAGAAGCCACCGAGCUGGUCAGACAUUUGGCUCAGAAACACCAAGCCGUUGAAGCAUGUGGUGUUCACUAUGCCCCUUCAGUCUUUAUCUCCGAAAGACCCCAAAUCCCAAUCCAUAAUCCCAACUUUCGCCAACAUUGAUCGAACCCUUCUCUUGUCCGACGAGCUCCUCCUACAAAUCCUUUCAAAGCUGCCGCAUUUGCAACGGAACCCUAACUCCCUCGUCUGCAAGCGGUGGCUCAAUCUCCAAGGCCGCCUUAUACGGUCCUUAAAGAUCCUGGAUUGGGAUUUUCUUGAAUCUGGGCGGUUAUUCACGAGGUUUCCCAACUUGACCCACGUGGAUUUGCUCAACGGCUGUUUGUUGUCGCCGCGAGAUUCUGGGAUUCUGUUGACUCAUCGGCUGGUUUCUAUGCAAAUGGGUUCUGGAUUUUGUUCAAAUCGCAAGUUUCUGGAAGAAGAUCUAUUGCCUGUCGAAGCUGUUGACAAAGGGCUGCAAGCACUUGCCAAUGGCUGUCCAAAUCUUCGAAGGCUUGUGGUGAUUAACGCCAGUGAGUUGGGGCUGCUAACGGUGGCCGAAGAAUGUUUGACUGUGCAAGAAUUGGAGUUACAUAAGUGCAACGACAACGUUUUACGUGGGAUUGCGGCGUGUGAGAAUUUGCAAAUCGUGAAACUCGUUGCCAACGUUGAUGGACUCUAUAGUUCGUCGGUUACCGACAUUGGUUUAACCAUCGUAGCUCAAGGGUGUAAAAGGUUGGUUAGGCUUGAGCUUAGUGGAUGCGAAGGGAGUUUUGAUGGGAUUAAAGCGAUUGGGCAAUGCUGUUUGAUGCUUGAAGAAUUGACUAUUUGUGAUCAUAAAAUGGAUGAUGGAUGGUUGGCUGGGUUGUCUUACUGUGAGAACUUGAAGACUUUGAAGUUACUGUCUUGUAAGAGAAUUGAUCGGAGUCCGGGCCGCGAUGAGUAUUUGGGGUUUUGUCCUGCUCUCGAACGGUUGCAUUUGCAGAAAUGUCAGUUGCGGAGCAAGAAGAGUGUGAGAGCACUGUUUAGAGUAUGCGAAGCUGUGAGAGAGAUUGUUAUUCAGGACUGCUGGGGAUUGAAUAAUGAUAUGUUCAGGUUUGCAAGUGUUUGCAGUUCCUUAGUGCCUGUUAACAUGGCCUGAAAUAAAGGGGAAAAAAGGGUUGCUUUCUGUCGCAAUGAUGAGUCUCUGUCUGGCCAUUGAUUUUGAAAUGCUGAGCAAUGCAAUGAAGUUCAAAUCAUGGUGAACAAUUGUUGAUUGUUCUAGUAAUAAGUUAUCCGUAACACACCGGAGAGUGAAGCUGCUAUCUUUAGAAGGAUGCUUGUUGUUGACAACUGAAGGUCUGGAAGCGGUGAUUCUUUCAUGGCAGGACCUUGAAAAUCUUAUAGUGGUAUCAUGCAAGAACAUAAAUG
Gossypium arboreum is the source of this 2153-nucleotide RNA transcript. It is a transcript of the gene named F-box protein At5g07670-like, with no coding region annotated. NCBI's taxonomy places the organism in Eukaryota, Viridiplantae, Streptophyta, Magnoliopsida, Malvales, Malvaceae. The record is from RefSeq and is a predicted model, not a curated record. The transcript has 3 exons.